This is a long non-coding RNA of Asparagus officinalis (garden asparagus), 875 nucleotides long. RefSeq lists it as uncharacterized. The record is from RefSeq and is a predicted model, not a curated record. The transcript is spliced from 3 exons. Lineage: Eukaryota; Viridiplantae; Streptophyta; Magnoliopsida; Asparagales; Asparagaceae.
CUCUCAAGCGAAGAACGGACGCACCGCGAGCAAUUUCGACGAUCAAGAGGUUCCCAGUCUUGGAUUUGAUAUAGGGUUCGAUCACUAGGUUCCCAGUCUUGGGUUCGAUCAAGAGGUUCCCAGUUUUGGGUUCGAUCAAGAGGAUCAUCUCUCGGCAUCCUCGGGCAGAACUUGAAGUUCAUCAUCCGACUCCUAGCCGUAAGUCAUUUUGGAUCUGAAGAACUUAAUAUCUAAAAAUGUUAGUCCUCUUUGGAUGGGCUUUGUUGAUACUAAUUUCACAAAUGCUUCAAAUGAGACAAGAUGAGGUGGUCCUUAUGCAAGGACUUGCAAGUCAGACUAUAACCUAGAGCGUAUAUCAAGCAGUUCAACAAAUUAUGCUUUCAUUCUCCUUCAAUUUUAAGUAGUAGCUCCUCUUGUGCAUUGGUCUUUUAACAUCGUGUACUUGUUUUCUUUUUUAUUUCUGUUGGAAGAUUAGUACUUGUUCUCUGUUCUCAAUUGUAUCAGAUGAUUAGUUAUUGUUCUUUGUUUUUAGUUGUGUUGGAUGAUUAGUGCUUGUUCUUUUCUUUAAUUGAAGGAGUUGACUAUCAUAACAAGCGGUCUUCUACUUUAAGAAAAAUGUUCUAUUUCUCAUGCUUAAAUGUGAUCCAUUUUAUUUUAUAUAUUUUUACACUUUGCAGGGUACUUAGACGAGGUGGCUGUUUUCUACGCCUCGAGUUGAGUUAGUUCCCUACAUUAAGAAGAAAACUUAUCAAAAUUAUAGUUACUUACCCAUUGAACCUGCCCUGAAAUAUACAAUGAUCAUGAUCUUGCAUAUUUUGUUCUCACUAGUUUAUAUGCACGUGCAAUGCACGUGUUAAAAUAUUAAAAAAUUAUUU